UAUAUACUCCCACCGUCCGAAAAAGCUCGUCCCUCAAAUGAAUGUAUCUAGCAUCAAGUUAGUGCUAGAUACGUCCAUUUGAGGAACAAGCUUUUUGGGACGGAGGGAGUAUCAG
Triticum aestivum (bread wheat) is the source of this 115-nucleotide non-coding RNA. NCBI's taxonomy places the organism in Eukaryota, Viridiplantae, Streptophyta, Magnoliopsida, Poales, Poaceae. The record is from Rfam.